UACGGAGGAUCCAAGCGUUAUCCGGAUUUACUGGGCGUAAAGAGUUGCGUAGGCGGCUUUGUAAGCAAGACAUGAAAUCGUGUGGCUCAACCAUACGGCUAUGUUUUGAACUACAAGGCUAGAGGAUGAGAGAGGUUAUUGGAAUUCCCAGUGUAGGAGUGAAAUCCGUAGAUAUUGGGAGGAACACCGAUGGCGUAGGCAGAUAACUGGCUCAUUCCUGACGCUCAGGCACGAAAGCGUGGGGAGCAAACGGG
This 254-nucleotide ribosomal RNA is filed under the name uncultured bacterium. Its description in RNAcentral is "partial 16S ribosomal RNA". It matches the Rfam family "Bacterial small subunit ribosomal RNA", at positions 524 to 776 of the family's 1533-position model. The record is from RNAcentral.